RNAcentral lists this long non-coding RNA (2728 nucleotides) under Olea europaea (common olive). RNAcentral's name for it is "long non-coding RNA (OEUR_LNC009965)". The record is from RNAcentral. Lineage: Eukaryota; Viridiplantae; Streptophyta; Magnoliopsida; Lamiales; Oleaceae.
AAUGUUGAUUUUCCACAAAUUUUUGAAAUUGAAUAAGGUAUUAAAGAAGUCAAAUUUCAAUUUUAAUGGGUAAAGUCAAGUGAAGCGAGAAUAAUCGUCAAUAAAUAAAACAUAGUAUACGAAACCAGAAUUUGACUUUACAGGAGAUGGGCCCCAUAGAUCGCAAUGAAUAAGUUCUAGUACCUUUGAAGAUCGAUGUUUAUUACGAGAAUAGGGCGGACGAUGAUUAUUUGCUAUUUGACAUGUACUACAUAAUGCGGGGGAUGGCAAUAAAGAAGAAAGAUGAAGCUGUCCUUUUUUAUUCAGAAAAGAAAUAAAAAAAUGAUUUACAUGUCUAAGGCGAGAAUGCUAUAAAUCAUAUGAAGCAAGAAGAGAUUUAUUUUUUUAGGAUAGAAAGAAAAGUCGAAUUUCUACAUUCUAGCACAUAUAGUCGACCAUCUCCAUCUCAUUUACUGGUCGCCAACACUCUUCCCAUUUGGCGAUUUUGAAUAGUGAAAAAAUUAUUAGUGAACUUAAUAGAUAAUGAAAAGUCAUCCGUUAAUCUAAUAAUUGACAAAAGAUUUUUAGGAUGUGAGGAAUGACCAAAACAUCUAACAGCUGAAAAUCAGGAGAAUGGGAAAUUUACCAGUAUGGGUAAUGGGUAGGGACGCACCAUUUUCGACAAUAACACAAUCCUUACCCAUAUAAGAAGUGGACUGAUCCAAGAGGGUUUGGGCUGAGGCCCCUGUGUCUAAAAACUAAUUCGAGGCCUUGUUUCAAAAAGGGAACAUGGAGAAUUGAGGGCUUCUGCAAGUUGAGCCUCACGGGUAUGACCAAGGCUUUCAUACCGUUUUUGGCACCAGUCUGCAUAGUGACCAUCUGCGCGACAAAUUUGAUAGCGCGGGGGUCGUCUGCGGGAGAAACGUCCCUGUCCUUGUCCGUGAUCGACAGUCUGACUGUGAUUGUUGUGAUAAGAAGAGCUUCGCUGAUUAAACUUCACAGGGUUGCGAUUGGUGGCUUGAACACCGCAGGGGAUGGUGUAGCCAGCUCUAGGGAUUUUUGAAAGAGCUCAAAGCUCUCUACCUUUGGCAUAAGAUCUGAAAAACAUGUCAAAGGGGUGAGGGCCAUUUGGGCCUGGAGAAGAUUGAGAAUUUCGAGCCAAGACCUCGAAGAAAUCAGUGCACUUUGUCAGUGCCAUCAACGGGUCAUCCGAUGACAUGGAGUUGAUCGCAGAGGACCUUGAAGGCGCGGGAGUAUUCCGAAACAGAUCUGGUGCCUAGUUUCAUCAGUUGCAAAUCAUCCUUGAGACGAAUUUCAGGGGCUUUGAAGUGGUGGCUGAAGGUGUUCUCUAAGGCAACUCACAAUUCACUUGAAGUAGAGAGUCCCAAACUUCCACCUUGGCCUCCACGGUGAGGGAGGACCACAGAAGGCUGAGGAGGCAUUGAUCGAUUUGUUUCCAUGGCACAUGUUUGAUAUUUGGUGUCUAAGAAUUUUCAGGGGCAAAACGGGGUGGGGUUUCUAUAGUUCCAUCCACAUAGCCGAUCAGUUCUUGGCUCUCUAAAAUGGGAAGCAAAUGGCUCUACCAUAGGAGAUAGUUGGAAGAGGAUAGUUUGAUUGUAACCAUGUGGAUGAGGGUAUUGAAAGGGAGAAUAUUGGGGGAGGGUUUGACAGCCAUGGGAAGGAAGGCAGGAUCAUGUGAGGGAGGUUAAUCCGUAGAGGGCUCGGAUACCAAAAGAGUGUUUAGAAAAUCACCACACUUUCUAGUGGUGAGUUGCUUUCAUAUUUAUAUCUAUAUCUACAUAAUCGUAUAUGGUAUGAUUACGAUAGAAUGGAAACAAUACAAUUGGCUCUACCAUAGGAGAUAGUUGGAAGAGGAUAGUUUGAUUGUAACCAUGUGGAUGAGGGUAUUGAAAGGGAGAAUAUUGGGGGAGGGUUUGACAGCCAUGGGAAGGAAGGCAGGAUCAUGUGAGGGAGGUUAAUCCGUAGAGGGUUCGGAUACCAAAAGAGUGUUUAGAAAAUCACCACACUUUCUAGUGGUGAGUUGCUUUCAUAUUUAUAUCUAUAUCUAUAUCUACAUAAUCGUAUAUGGUAUGAUUACGAUAGAAUGGGAACAAUACAAUUGAAUGGAAAGAAUUAAGGAAACAAGGAAGAGGCUUCAAUUAUGGGUUAAAUGAGAAUACAAAUGGGAAGUCUUUUUUUCAAUAAACAUUUAUUGUUUUUCCUCAUCUUUUAUUUAAUAUACAUUUUUCUUAUUUGCAAAUGGCUCUUUUAUUUUAAAAAAUUAAAAUAAAGAGCGUGUUGAGGGAUUUAUUUCAGCAUUCACUCUUUAAAAUACAAUGCAUAUCACUUUUGAAUAGUUCAUUGGAGAUGCUCUAACAAGGUUAAUUAUUUGGAAAGUUAAAGUUUAAGAAUAAGUUAAAAUUAUGUUUGAUUUUGUAUCACACGACGUAGACUGGAACACCCUCUAACAUAGUCAAAGGUUCUAACGUUGAAGACAAAGACCAUUUUAUUAAAAAUUCAACAGACGGAGUCAAUGUCGUGCUAUCAUAAAUCCAAAGUAAGAGAAUUUUUAUUCAAUAAAUUCUUUCUUUAUAUAUCUGCGUUCAAAUUACUGUUUUUACGCAGUCUGUGUAAUGAUUUACAACUUCCUGCAAUCUUCCUUGCACCAACACUGCUGUUUCUCUCUCAAAGCUAUAUAAAUACACACGAAGAACAGAGAAAGAGAGAGAGGUUGCAUUUUCAAUGUCUC